GUCUGGAAAGUCGCGCAGUAAAGGGUGAUAGCCCCGUACACUAAAAUGCACAGGUCGUGAGUUCGAUGAGUAGGGCGGGACACGUGACAUCCUGUCUGAAUAUGGGGGGACCAUCCUCCAAGGCUAAAUACUCCUGACUGACCGAUAGUGAACCAGUACCGUGAGGGAAAGGCGAAAAGAACCCCGGCGAGGGGAGUGAAAUAGAACCUGAAACCGUGUACGUACAAGCAGUGGGAGCACCUUCGUGGUGUGACUGCGUACCUUUUGUAUAAUGGGUCAGCGACUUAUAUUUUGUAGCAAGGUUAACCGUAUAGGGGAGCCGUAGGGAAACCGAGUCUUAACUGGGCGACUAGUUGCAAGGUAUAGACCCGAAACCCGGUGAUCUAGCCAUGGGCAGGUUGAAGGUUGGGUAACACUAACUGGAGGACCGAACCGACUAAUGUUGAAAAAUUAGCGGAUGACUUGUGGCUGGGGGUGAAAGGCCAAUCAAACCGGGAGAUAGCUGGUUCUCCCCGAAAGCUAUUUAGGUAGCGCCUCGUGAACUCAUCUUCGGGGGUAGAGCACUGUUUCGGCUAGGGGGCCAUCCCGGCUUACCAAACCGAUGCAAACUCCGAAUACCGAAGAAUGUUAUCACGGGAGACACACGGCGGGUGCUAACGUCCGUCGUGAAGAGGGAAACAACCCAGACCGCCAGCUAAGGUCCCAAAGUCAUGGUUAAGUGGGAAACGAUGUGGGAAGGCAUAGACAGCCAGGAUGUUGGCUUAGAAGCAGCCAUCAUUUAAAGAAAGCGUAAUAGCUCACUGGUCGAGUCGGCCUGCGCGGAAGAUGUAACGGGGCUAAACCAUGCACCGAAGCUGCGGCAGCGACGCUUAGGCGUUGUUGGGUAGGGGAGCGUUCUGUAAGCCGUUGAAGGUGGCCUGUGAGGGUUGCUGGAGGUAUCAGAAGUGCGAAUGCUGACAUAAGUAACGAUAAAGCGGGUGAAAAGCCCGCUCGCCGGAAGACCAAGGGUUCCUGUCCAACGUUAAUCGGGGCAGGGUGAGUCGACCCCUAAGGCGAGGCUGAAAAGCGUAGUCGAUGGGAAACAGGUUAAUAUUCCUGUACUUGGUGUUACUGCGAAGGGGGGACGGAGAAGGCUAGGCUAGCCGGGCGACGGUUGUCCCGGUUUAAGCGUGUAGGGGGUGUGACCUGGUAAAUCCGGUUGCAUACUAACCCUGAGGCGUGAUGACGAUGCACUACGGUGCAGAAGUAGUUGAUGCCCUGCUUCCAGGAAAAUCCUCUAAGCUCCAGGUAACAUUAAAUCGUACCCCAAACCGACACAGGUGGUCAGGUAGAGAAUACCAAGGCGCUUGAGAGAACUCGGGUGAAGGAACUAGGCAAAAUGGUGCCGUAACUUCGGGAGAAGGCACGCUGGCAUGUAGGUGAAGUCCCUCGCGGAUGGAGCUGAAGCCAGUCGAAGAUACCAGCUGGCUGCAACUGUUUAAUAAAAACACAGCACUGUGCAAACACGAAAGUGGACGUAUACGGUGUGACGCCUGCCCGGUGCUGGAAGGUUAAUUGAUGGGGUCAGCGCAAGCGAAGCUCUUGAUCGAAGCCCCGGUAAACGGCGGCCGUAACUAUAACGGUCCUAAGGUAGCGAAAUUCCUUGUCGGGUAAGUUCCGACCUGCACGAAUGGCGUAAUGAUGGCCAGGCUGUCUCCACCCGAGACUCAGUGAAAUUGAACUCGCUGUGAAGAUGCAGUGUACCCGCGGCAAGACGGAAAGACCCCGUGAACCUUUACUAUAGCUUGACACUGAACAUUGAGCCUUGAUGUGUAGGAUAGGUGGGAGGCUUUGAAGCGUGGACGCCAGUCUGCGUGGAGCCAUCCUUGAAAUACCACCCUUUAAUGUUUGAUGUUCUAACUCGGCCCCGUAAUCCGGGGUGAGGACAGUGUCUGGUGGGUAGUUUGACUGGGGCGGUCUCCUCCCAAAGAGUAACGGAGGAGCACGAAGGUUAGCUAAUCACGGUCGGACAUCGUGAGGUUAGUGCAAAGGCAUAAGCUAGCUUGACUGCGAGAGUGACGGCUCGAGCAGGUACGAAAGUAGGUCUUAGUGAUCCGGUGGUUCUGAAUGGAAGGGCCAUCGCUCAACGGAUAAAAGGUACUCCGGGGAUAACAGGCUGAUACCGCCCAAGAGUUCAUAUCGACGGCGGUGUUUGGCACCUCGAUGUCGGCUCAUCACAUCCUGGGGCUGAAGUAGGUCCCAAGGGUAUGGCUGUUCGCCAUUUAAAGUGGUACGCGAGCUGGGUUUAGAACGUCGUGAGACAGUUCGGUCCCUAUCUGCCGUGGGCGUUGGAAGAUUGAGAGGGGUUGCUCCUAGUACGAGAGGACCGGAGUGAACGCACCACUGGUGUUCGGGUUGUCAUGCCAAUGGCAUUGCCCGGUAGCUAAGUGCGGAAAAGAUAAGCGCUGAAAGCAUCUAAGCGCGAAACUUGCCUCAAGAUGAGUCUUCCCUGGGCCUUCAAGGCCCCUGAAGGAACGUUUAAGACUAAGACGUUGAUAGGCUGGGUGUGUAAGUGCAGCGAUGCAUUGAGCUAACCAGUACUAAUGAUCCGUGAGGCUUAACCUUACAACACCGAAGGUGUUU
This 2622-nucleotide ribosomal RNA is filed under the name Serratia marcescens. RNAcentral describes it as "partial 23S ribosomal RNA". It matches the Rfam family "Bacterial large subunit ribosomal RNA", at positions 340 to 2925 of the family's 2925-position model. Lineage: Bacteria; Pseudomonadati; Pseudomonadota; Gammaproteobacteria; Enterobacterales; Yersiniaceae. The record is from RNAcentral.